RNAcentral lists this ribosomal RNA (497 nucleotides) under uncultured bacterium. Its description in RNAcentral is "partial 16S ribosomal RNA". It matches the Rfam family "Bacterial small subunit ribosomal RNA", at positions 28 to 507 of the family's 1533-position model. The record is from RNAcentral.
GAUGAACGCUGGCGGCGUGCCUAAUACAUGCAAGUCGAGCGAACGGACGAGAAGCUUGCUUCUCUGAUGUUAGCGGCGGACGGGUGAGUAACACGUGGAUAACCUACCUAUAAGACUGGGAUAACUUCGGGAAACCGGAGCUAAUACCGGAUAAUAUUUUGAACCGCAUGGUUCAAAAGUGAAAGACGGUCUUGCUGUCACUUAUAGAUGGAUCCGCGCUGCAUUAGCUAGUUGGUAAGGUAACGGCUUACCAAGGCAACGAUGCAUAGCCGACCUGAGAGGGUGAUCGGCCACACUGGAAUUGAGACACGGUCCAGACUCCUACGGGAGGCAGCAGUAGGGAAUCCUCCGCAAUGGGCGAAAGCCUGACGGAGCAACGCCGCGUGAGUGAUGAAGGUCUUCGGAUCGUAAAACUCUGUUAUUAGGGAAGAACAUAUGUGUAAGUAACUGUGCACAUCUUGACGGUACCUAAUCAGAAAGCCACGGCUAACUACGUG